RNAcentral lists this transfer RNA (77 nucleotides) under marine sediment metagenome. RNAcentral's name for it is "tRNA-Gln". It matches the Rfam family "tRNA". Rfam says of the family: Transfer RNA (tRNA) molecules are approximately 80 nucleotides in length. Their secondary structure includes four short double-helical elements and three loops (D, anti-codon, and T loops). The record is from RNAcentral.
UGGGAACUAGCUCAACUGGCUAGAGCGUCGGUCUCUGACACCGAAGGUUCUGGGUUCGAACCCCAGGUUCCCAACCA